RNAcentral lists this ribosomal RNA (731 nucleotides) under Sagittula sp. RKEM 724B. RNAcentral's name for it is "bacterial SSU rRNA". It matches the Rfam family "Bacterial small subunit ribosomal RNA", at positions 22 to 812 of the family's 1533-position model. Lineage: Bacteria; Pseudomonadati; Pseudomonadota; Alphaproteobacteria; Rhodobacterales; Roseobacteraceae. The record is from RNAcentral.
GCUCAGAACGAACGCUGGCGGCAGGCCUAACACAUGCAAGUCGUGCGCGCCUUCGGGUGAGCGGCGGACGGGUGAGUAACGCGUGGGAACGUGCCCUUCAGUUGAGGAUAGCCCCGGGAAACUGGGAGUAAUACUCGAUACGCCCUUAGGGGGAAUGAAGGAUCGGCCCGCGUUAGAUUAGGUAGUUGGUGAGGUAACGGCUCACCAAGCCUACGAUCUAUAGCUGGUUUUAGAGGAUGAUCAGCCACACUGGGACUGAGACACGGCCCAGACUCCUACGGGAGGCAGCAGUGAGGAAUCUUAGACAAUGGGCGCAAGCCUGAUCUAGCCAUGCCGCGUGAGUGAUGAAGGCCUUAGGGUCGUAAAGCUCUUUCGCCUGUGAUGAUAAUGACAGUAGCAGGUAAAGAAACCCCGGCUAACUCCGUGCCAGCAGCCGCGGUAAUACGGAGGGGGUUAGCGUUGUUCGGAAUUACUGGGCGUAAAGCGCACGUAGGCGGACUGGAAAGUUGGGGGUGAAAUCCCGGGGCUCAACCCCGGAACUGCCUCCAAAACUAUCAGUCUAGAGUUCGAGAGAGGUGAGUGGAAUUCCGAGUGUAGAGGUGAAAUUCGUAGAUAUUCGGAGGAACACCAGUGGCGAAGGCGGCUCACUGGCUCGAUACUGACGCUGAGGUGCGAAAGUGUGGGGAGCAAACAGGAUUAGAUACCCUGGUAGUCCACACCGUAAACGAUGA